AGGGUUGUAGCUCAGUGGUAGAGUGCUCACCUGGCAUGUGGAAGACACUAGGUUCAAUCCUUAGCACUUCAU
This 72-nucleotide transfer RNA is filed under the name Ictidomys tridecemlineatus (thirteen-lined ground squirrel). RNAcentral's name for it is "Spermophilus tridecemlineatus (thirteen-lined ground squirrel) tRNA". It matches the Rfam family "tRNA". From Rfam's summary of the family: Transfer RNA (tRNA) molecules are approximately 80 nucleotides in length. The record is from Rfam by way of RNAcentral. Lineage: Eukaryota; Metazoa; Chordata; Mammalia; Rodentia; Sciuridae.